Molecule: non-coding RNA, 2461 nt
Organism: Elaeis guineensis (African oil palm)
Lineage: Eukaryota; Viridiplantae; Streptophyta; Magnoliopsida; Arecales; Arecaceae
Source: RefSeq, a predicted model, not a curated record
CUUGGUAAUUACCUCCCAUCCCGAGCCCAUCUUCCAUGGCCUAUCCAUCGGGCGUCCGGCCUCCAUUCACCACUCGGUGUGCCCGCGGGAAGACAUCUCCCUCCGGCCAGCCGGUUUUCCUCCUUCGAAUUAAAAAAAAUCUUAAAGGUGAAGGAGAGGAGAGGGGAUUCUAGUUCUUUGUAAGAAAAAAAUGUAGUUAAUCUUGGAAACUUUAAUCCUUCCGUCCUGGAAAUAAUUUGAUUUGAUAUUCUUCCUCCAUUUGAUCCAUUUCUUGCUCGCUUUCCGGAUGUCGCGAUCGUCGUUCAACAAGCCGGAGUCGCCGGUGGCGGCGUCAGCGGAGGGGAGACGACGAUGACGAGGAUGUCGCUCGUGGAGUCGUUCCGGGCGUGCAGGAUCACAGGGGCGAGGCUCGACAAGGAGUAUCUCCGCCGGAGGAUCACUAUCCCCGACCGCCUCAGGGUCGCCAUGGCCUAGGCCAUCUGGUCCGGGGAUCCUGCCGCCACCGCGGGCGGCGGCGUCGGUGGAGGAGGUGGGGGCGCACGGCCCGUGCCUCGGGGACGACGACGAGCCGGAGGAACCCAUUAUCGUGUUCCUUAACUCCCGCAGCGGCGGCCGCCACGGCCCCGUCCACAAGCGCCACCUCCAGGAGUUGAUGGGCGAGGAGCAGGUCCCCGAAACGUUUUUGAUCUUUCAAUGGUGAAGCCUUCUGAAUUUGUGUACUAUGGCUUGGCUUGCUUGGAGAAGUUGGCUGCUCUUGGAGACCAUUCCGCAAAGGAAACUUGGAGAAGUUGAGAAUAAUGGAAUGAGAACAAAUGUGAAUAUGUCGUUCCGUAGUUGGCUUUCCUGCUUUUAAACUGCAUGUUGUUAACUUGACAAAGUGCACAAACUUUUCAGGAGCCUCUUGCAGGGGUAUACUAUUUAGUGGGAUAUGUUGAUCUCAAACUGGUAGUUUUGGAUAUGUUGAUCUCAAAUUCUGUUGUAACAUAUUUGUUAAAUGGGGAAAAUUAACUUUUGUUUAAUAUGUUGCAUUGUCCUAUGUAUUCUGUGAUUAUGAAAUCAUAUUAUUUUACUGGGAGUUUUGUAAUGACGUUCCACCAUAACUUUGUGAUUAUAAGAUAUAUAAUAUUUGAAUCAAUCUGAUUACGUGUUUCAGGCUGCAGCAUUAGAUUGGAAAUCAGAGGUGGGCAACGGAGAGAUGCUUAUAUCCAAAUGGAUGGGGAGUCAUGGAAACAACCAAUGAGUAUGAAUUAUUCAAGUUUUGUGGAAAUAAAAUGGGUAACAUUUCAGUCACUCAUAAUAAGUGGCGAGUGAUUCUAAUGGUUUAUUGGAUAAGGGACAUAUCUUGAGGAUGCAGUGACAUAGAAAAAAUGCAGGCAUGGUUUGCUGUUACCUGAUGGUCAUUUUUUUUAUGGCCUCAUUACUGAAUUACUGUCUAGGAAAGCUAUUUGUGAAGCAUGCUUACUGUUUUAAAUUGGCUUAGGUUCAGAGUUUCUAGUUUCACAUAGGGGGACUGUGAUAUCCAAAUCUAGCAUUUGGCAUCAUUGUUUGUUUGCCCUUCCACUAAAAUAAUUAAGUGGGAUUCUCUUUUCCUUUUACAUUUUACUCCUUUUGCUGAAUCUUUAAGGAGACAAUAACCAUUUGACUAAAAGCCGAUGUUCCACUCCUUGCAUUUACUUGGUUUGAUGAUCCACUAUCUUGCAUUUACUUUGUUUAUACUUUAUAAUAUACCUGGAGAACACUGAAGUUUAGAUCCUCAAUUAGCUUAAUUAUCAUAUGUAUUUGCCAUUUCUUUAAAUCAAGUUCGCAAAGACCUUUUUAUUUUUCUUUUUGUAGGCACCUUUGCUCAGUGGGUGGCAUCUUUAAAGCAGGGAAAGUGCAUUUGGAGGAACAUGCCCACAUCCUGUUGCCCCUUGAGUUUGGACAACGAGGACUUGUCAAUUUGCGGUGACUGGACGAGUAGAUGCCUAUCUGUCUGUCUGCAACUUUCUCCCCACCCAUUCAUAUAGUUGAUUUGGACCACGUUAAACCAAAGGGAUUGAAUAUAAUGGAGAAUUGGCUUUUAAAUUUCAUUCUAAAGGUGAAAUCUAUUAAGACUUCCAUGGUUAUGGGACGCAGAGGAUGUAUGACAUCUAUUGAAGGGGAUGUACUUUAUAAUCCUUGCAAUGUAGCAGAAGCAGAAUGAAGAGUUGGUCCUUGCGUUAGUUGAAGAUUUAGCUGAGUACCAUGAAACAGUGUGCCUGAAGGUUCAGAGUGUUUCUGGGUUGAUUGGACAGAGACAGGUUGGGCAAGAAACUGACCUAUUCUUCCACUUUCUUUGGAUGGGGCAGCUCAGCACCUAUACAGCCUUGCCAAUAGGAGCAACCCUGUUUAGAUGGAGCAGGAAAGUAUACGUGGUGGGGUGCACCAUAAUAUAAAGACAGAUCAUAUGUCAUCAUCGCAUAGUCCUCCCUAAAGUAGUAGG